CGCACAUUGCACCCACUAGUAUUCUAAUGGGUAUGCCUGUUCGAGCGUCAUUACAAUCUUAUGCUUUGCAUAGUUUUGGGACAUUCAGAAGUGAAGUCCUCAAUAAUAUCUGGCAACUGAUGAUAGUUUGAGCAAAGUAAAUACUCGGCUUUUGAACCUUUAUCACGCUUGACCACAAAUCAAAUUACUUUUGACCUCGGAUCAGGUAGGAAUACCCGCUGAACUUAA
RNAcentral lists this unclassified non-coding RNA (228 nucleotides) under Helotiales sp. RNAcentral's name for it is "partial contains 5.8S ribosomal RNA, internal transcribed spacer 2, and large subunit ribosomal RNA". The record is from RNAcentral. Lineage: Eukaryota; Fungi; Ascomycota; Leotiomycetes; Helotiales.